GCUUGACGGUACUGUAAGAAUAAGGAUCGGCUAACUCCGUGCCAGCAGCCGCGGUAAUACGGAGGAUCCAAGCGUUAUCCGGAAUCAUUGGGUUUAAAGGGUCCGCAGGCGGUUUUUUAAGUCAGAGGUGAAAUCCUGCAGCUCAACUGUAGAAUUGCCUUUGAUACUGAAAGACUUGAGUUAUUGUGAAGUGGUUAGAAUGUGUGGUGUAGCGGUGAAAUGCAUAGAUAUCACACAGAAUACCAAUUGCGAAGGCAGAUCACUAACAAUAUACUGACGCUCAGGGACGAAAGCGUGGGUAGCGAACAGGAUUAGAUACCCUGGUAGUCCACGCCGUAAACGAUGGAUACUAGCUGUAUGUCUACCUCAGGUAGAUGUGUGGCCAAGCGAAAGUGAUAAGUAUCCCACCUGGGGAGUACGAUC
This 423-nucleotide ribosomal RNA is filed under the name uncultured Flavobacteriia bacterium. RNAcentral describes it as "bacterial SSU rRNA". It matches the Rfam family "Bacterial small subunit ribosomal RNA", at positions 467 to 887 of the family's 1533-position model. Lineage: Bacteria; Pseudomonadati; Bacteroidota; Flavobacteriia. The record is from RNAcentral.